This is a long non-coding RNA of Rhineura floridana, 402 nucleotides long. RefSeq lists it as uncharacterized. The record is from RefSeq and is a predicted model, not a curated record. Lineage: Eukaryota; Metazoa; Chordata; Lepidosauria; Squamata; Rhineuridae. The transcript has 3 exons.
AUCCAGGUCAGCCACUGAGCUGCUACAAAUGCUGAGGCUUGCAUUCUUGCUUGCCCUCCCCAAAAAGCCAGCUUUAGUCGAUUCAGCUCCUGGGGACUACAUGCCAUUUUUAACCGCAAACCAAGGAAGGAAGCUCAAGAUACUGGUUAGUUGCCAACAUUAAUGAACAAGCAGACAACAGAUCAAUGCAUGUGGCACUAACAACCAGGGAACCCUCACUUGUUGAAUUUCUGUCUUGUUCUUCAAUGACUGAAAGUCAAGAGAGCCCUACCAAGGAAGACAAAAAAUGGUAACCAUGAGCACAGCCCAGUAAGGCAUUAUGUCACAGGGAUGUGUCUGUCCUUAGUGUGUUGAUUCCAGAUUACACGGAGCUGUGCUUGUUGCUCGUAAGAGACAUGGACA